CAGGUAGGACUACCCGCUGAACUUAAGCA
RNAcentral lists this ribosomal RNA (29 nucleotides) under Descolea ferruginea. RNAcentral's name for it is "partial 28S ribosomal RNA". Lineage: Eukaryota; Fungi; Basidiomycota; Agaricomycetes; Agaricales; Bolbitiaceae. RNAcentral also lists the same sequence under 2 other names. The record is from RNAcentral.